UUUCGCUUUGUCCAUAGGAGAUAGAUUGAGGCUUGCCAAGCCAAUAGCACCAGAAGUCGUUCAUGUUUCGGCGAACGAAUCGCUUGCAUGCAGCCAAAUUCUGUAGACCAGUUCCGAGAGGGGUUCCAUUGGACCUUGCGAGAUAGCUCUUUCCAGAAGCUCCAAGAGUAGGGACAUUCAUAGUACAGGGCAUCUGUCGAGGACAGUGAGCCGAGUGACGAAAUUGUGGCGAGGAAUACCGCGGGAAGACCAUACUGCUGAAUACCAAGGGACAGGUGGUUGAUGGUCUUUGAUUAGUUCAUAGAUCAUUCCUGUUGAGUAGGUGGGCAGAGGCCUUCCAUUUGGAGACCACUCAUAGACAUCGCAGGCUUCCGUCAAAGUGAUGGAAGAUAGUAUCAUGUUAAAAAAUGUUGUAAGCAUUUUCUACUAAUAUGUCGAAACUUAUUUCUAAAAUAUAGAUCUAACUUUUUUAA
Molecule: long non-coding RNA, 473 nt
Organism: Brassica napus (rape)
Lineage: Eukaryota; Viridiplantae; Streptophyta; Magnoliopsida; Brassicales; Brassicaceae
Exons: 2
Source: RefSeq, a predicted model, not a curated record